RNAcentral lists this ribosomal RNA (161 nucleotides) under Brachypodium sylvaticum. Its description in RNAcentral is "5.8S ribosomal RNA". It matches the Rfam family "5.8S ribosomal RNA". Rfam says of the family: 5.8S ribosomal RNA (5.8S rRNA) is a component of the large subunit of the eukaryotic ribosome. It is transcribed by RNA polymerase I as part of the 45S precursor that also contains 18S and 28S rRNA. Lineage: Eukaryota; Viridiplantae; Streptophyta; Magnoliopsida; Poales; Poaceae. The record is from RNAcentral.
ACACGACUCUCGGCAACGGAUAUCUCGGCUCUCGCAUCGAUGAAGAACGUAGCGAAAUGCGAUACCUGGUGUGAAUUGCAGAAUCCCGCGAACCAUCGAGUCUUUGAACGCAAGUUGCGCCCGAGGCCACCCGGUCGAGGGCACGCCUGCCUGGGCGUCAC